GUGCCAGCAGCCGCGGUAAGACAGAGGGGGCAAGCGUUGUCCGGAAUCACUGGGCGUAAAGCGCACGCAGGCGGCCCGGCAAGUGGGGUGUGACAGCGAACGGCUUAACCGUCCGAGGCCAUCUCAGACUGCCGAGCUUGAGCUAUGCAGAGGUUCGUGGAAUUGCUGGUGUAGGAGUGACAUCCGUAGAGACCAGCAGGAACACCAAUGGGGAAGCCAGCGAACUGGGCAUAUGCUGACGCUCAGGUGCGAUAGCGUGGGGAGCAAACCGGAUUAGAAACCCCAGUAGUCC
This 292-nucleotide ribosomal RNA is filed under the name uncultured bacterium. Its description in RNAcentral is "partial 16S ribosomal RNA". It matches the Rfam family "Bacterial small subunit ribosomal RNA", at positions 505 to 796 of the family's 1533-position model. The record is from RNAcentral.